GACGGAGGAUGCAAGCGUUAUCCGGAAUGAUUGGGCGUAAAGCGUCCGCAGGUGGCAGUUCAAGUCUGCUGUCAAAGACCGGGGCUUAACUUCGGAAAGGCAGUGGAAACUGAACAGCUAGAGUAUGGUAGGGGCAGAGGGAAUUCCUGGUGUAGCGGUGAAAUGCGCAGAUAUCAGGAGGAACACCGAUGGCGAAGGCAGCUCGCUGGGACGGUACUGACGCUGAGGCGCGAAAGCGUGGGGAGCAAACAGG
RNAcentral lists this ribosomal RNA (253 nucleotides) under uncultured bacterium. RNAcentral's name for it is "partial 16S ribosomal RNA". It matches the Rfam family "Bacterial small subunit ribosomal RNA", at positions 524 to 776 of the family's 1533-position model. The record is from RNAcentral.